GCAUAUCAAUAAGCGGAGGAAAAGAAACCAACAGGGAUUGCCCCAGUAACGGCGAGUGAAGCGGCAACAGCUCAGAUUUGGAAUCUGGCCUUCGGGCCCGAGUUGUAAUCUGGAGAGGAUGCUUCUGGCGCGGUGCCUUCCGAGUUCCCUGGAACGGGACGCCGGAGAGGGUGAGAGCCCCGUACGGUUGGACACCUAGCCUCUGUGAAGCUCCUUCGACGAGUCGAGUAGUUUGGGAAUGCUGCUCAAAAUGGGAGGUAAAUUUCUUCUAAAGCUAAAUAUUGGCCAGAGACCGAUAGCGCACAAGUAGAGUGAUCGAAAGAUGAAAAGCACUUUGAAAAGAGAGUUAAAAAGUACGUGAAAUUGUUGAAAGGGAAGCGCCUGUGGCCAGACUUGCGCCGCGCGGACCACCCAGCGUUCUCGCUGGUGCACUCCGCGUGGCGCAGGCCAGCAUCGGUUUUCCUAGGGGGAUAAAGGUCGCGGGAACGUAGCUCCUCCGGGAGUGUUAUAGCCCGUGGCGUCAUGCCCCUGGGGGGACCGAGGACCGCGCUUCGGCAAGGAUGCUGGCGUAAUGGCCACCGGCGACCCGUCUUGAAACACGGACCAAGGAGUCAAGCAUUGGGGCGAGUGUCUGGGUGUCAAACCCGCACGCGAAAUGAAAGUGAACGCAGGUGAGAGCUUCGGCGCAUCAUCGACCGAUCCUGAUGUUCUCGGAUGGAUUUGAGUAAGAGCCUUACCGCUUGGACCCGAAAGAUGGUGAACUAUGCCUGUAUAGGGUGAAGCCAGAGGAAACUCUGGUGGAGGCUCGCAGCGGUUCUGACGUGCAAAUCGAUCGUCAAAUAUGGGCAUGGGGGCGAAAGACUAAUCGAACCAUCUAGUAGCUGGAUACCGCCGAA
RNAcentral lists this ribosomal RNA (896 nucleotides) under Leptographium americanum. Its description in RNAcentral is "LSU rRNA". It matches the Rfam family "Eukaryotic large subunit ribosomal RNA", at positions 38 to 965 of the family's 3401-position model. The record is from RNAcentral. Lineage: Eukaryota; Fungi; Ascomycota; Sordariomycetes; Ophiostomatales; Ophiostomataceae.